GAUGAACGCUGGCGGCGUGCCUAAUACAUGCAAGUCGAGCGAACAGACGAGGAGCUUGCUCCUCUGACGUUAGCGGCGGACGGGUGAGUAACACGUGGAUAACCUACCUAUAAGACUGGGAUAACUUCGGGAAACCGGAGCUAAUACCGGAUAAUAUAUUGAACCGCAUGGUUCAAUAGUGAAAGACGGUUUUGCUGUCACUUAUAGAUGGAUCCGCGCCGCAUUAGCUAGUUGGUAAGGUAACGGCUUACCAAGGCAACGAUGCGUAGCCGACCUGAGAGGGGGAUCGUCCACACUGGAACUGAGACACGGUCCAGACUCCUACGGGAGGCAGCAGUAGGGAAUCUUCCGCAAUGGGCGAAAGCCUGACGGAGCAACGCCGCGUGAGUGAUGAAGGUCUUCGGAUCGUAAAACUCUGUUAUUAGGGAAGAACAAAUGUGUAAGUAACUAUGCACGUCUUGACGGUACCUAAUCAGAAAGCCACGGCUAACUACGUG
Molecule: ribosomal RNA, 497 nt
Filed under: uncultured bacterium
Lineage: Bacteria
Description: partial 16S ribosomal RNA
Rfam family: Bacterial small subunit ribosomal RNA
Source: RNAcentral